GGCCCAGACUCCUACGGGAGGCAGCAGUAGGGAAUCUUCCGCAAUGGACGAAAGUCUGACGGAGCAACGCCGCGUGAGUGAUGAAGGUUUUCGGAUCGUAAAACUCUGUUGUUAGGGAAGAACAAGUGCCGUUCGAAAGGGCGGCACCUUGACGGUACCUAACGAGAAAGCCACGGCUAACUACGUGCCAGCAGCCGCGGUAAUACGUAGGUGGCAAGCGUUGUCCGGAAUUAUUGGGCGUAAAGCGCGCGCAGGCGGUCUCUUAAGUCUGAUGUGAAAGCCCCCGGCUCAACCGGGGAGGGUCAUUGGAAACUGGGAGACUUGAGUACAGAAGAGGAGAGUGGAAUUCCACGUGUAGCGGUGAAAUGCGUAGAGAUGUGGAGGAACACCAGUGGCGAAGGCGACUCUCUGGUCUGUAACUGACGCUGAGGCGCGAAAGCGUGGGGAGCAAACAGGAUUAGAUACCCUGGUAGUCCACGCCGUAAACGAUGAGUGCCAGGUGUUAGGGGUUUCGAAGCCCUUAGUGCCGAAGUUAACACAUUAAGCACUCCGCCUGGGGAGUACGACCGCAAGGUUGAAACUCAAAGGAAUUGACGGGGGCCCGCACAAGCAGUGGAGCAUGUGGUUUAAUUCGAAGCAACGCGAAGAACCUUACCAGGUCUUGACAUCCUUUGACCACCCUAGAGAUAGGGCUUUCCCCUUCGGGGGACAAAGUGACAGGUGGUGCAUGGUUGUCGUCAGCUCGUGUCGUGAGAUGUUGGGUUAAGUCCCGCAACGAGCGCAACCCUUGACCUUAGUUGCCAGCAUUGAGUUGGGCACUCUAAGGUGACUGCCGGUGACAAACCGGAGGAAGGUGGGGAUGACGUCAAAUCAUCAUGCCCCUUAUGACCUGGGCUACACACGUGCUACAAUGGAUGGUACAAAGGGUUCGAAG
RNAcentral lists this ribosomal RNA (934 nucleotides) under Halalkalibacterium halodurans. RNAcentral describes it as "bacterial SSU rRNA". It matches the Rfam family "Bacterial small subunit ribosomal RNA", at positions 328 to 1253 of the family's 1533-position model. The record is from RNAcentral. Lineage: Bacteria; Bacillati; Bacillota; Bacilli; Caryophanales; Bacillaceae.